UUCAGAUUUUACUGUGUUUUCUUUGCUAAUAAUUGUUUCUUGUUUCACAGGGAGAAGGAAGUUGACAUGCGAUCGACAGAAGGUCGCUAUGUCUCCUCUGAAACAAUACCGGACGUGAACUUGGGAAGUGAUGAUCCUUCCUCUCAAGGACACACAGAACAAAGUAGUGUAAACAGGCCUGCAGAGAGCAU
Molecule: non-coding RNA, 191 nt
Organism: Arachis ipaensis
Lineage: Eukaryota; Viridiplantae; Streptophyta; Magnoliopsida; Fabales; Fabaceae
Source: RefSeq, a predicted model, not a curated record